RNAcentral lists this long non-coding RNA (1740 nucleotides) under Homo sapiens (human). Its description in RNAcentral is "long independently transcribed non-coding RNA 1144 (LINC01144)". Lineage: Eukaryota; Metazoa; Chordata; Mammalia; Primates; Hominidae. The record is from RNAcentral.
GAAGGGCUGAGGCUCACGGUUUCGGAGUAAGGGGAGCGGCCCGGCGAGCCGCCGCGCCUGGGUUAAGAGCUGCAGGAGGAACGUGGCUUCACGAGUUCGGCUCCUCGGCCAUCCACAGCCCGGGCCUCCGCCUCUGCUGACCUGGCGGCUGUAGAAGGCAGAAGAGGCCUGAAACCUGCAGCAGGAGCACCACCCUGCCCCGCGGCCCCGCGCGCCCUCCAGUGGCGUCAUCCCAUCCGCUUUGAUCUCGACUGGCGCGCCUACCCUCGGCAGCGGCACCCCUUGGGAGCGCAAUCGCGGGCAGACUCCGAGGACCCAUCUUGCGAAAGUUCUGCGAGGUCCUGACUUUAAGGGAACAGGGGUCGUACUUGGGCCAUGGCCGGAAGGGAGAUCCAACAUCCAUGACGACGUCUACCCCCCAGCCUGCCCCUUCAGAGCCCAGUCUGUGCCUUGCGUCAAAGUCAAGCAAGGGCUCUUGUAGGGCACCGAGCCCCAGCCAAAAUCACCCUUUUCUUUCAGAUAGCCCCCACUUACCCCCAGAAACCUUACUCUCUCCCUCGGGAGCAGGUGGGAAGUGAAAGGCCGGGGGGGCUGUUUCUGCUCUGCUUGUCUGUACCUGUGGCCCUUGAGUGGAAAACCCCGCCGCUGGACCAAAGACCUGGAGGCUCCAGGAUUGCCCACUUGGGACCCUGACUAUGAAGGGUCAAGAUAGCCCAUUCUGCCCCAGCACUCAGAGCCCUAUUACCAAGGCCCCUACUCCAAGAAUCCACCAUCAAAACCGGGGCCCUGCCAGUGCCUUCCCAGUGUUCAGGCCUAGGGAAGAAUAGCCCCAUUAUGCCUGUUACUCCUGAUCCUUCUGCAGUCUCUCUCUUUGUGACCCCAUGGCCUUUGCUGCUAUGUCUGCCCUGGCCCCACAGAGUGCCAGGUCAGAGCCACCCUGGCCUACAUAGCAGGGCCCCGGUUCACAGGCUAAAACCUGGGCCUCCUGCCAGGCUGCAACUCCCAGCUGCACACCGCAACCUGAGACAUCUCAGCAUAUUCUAGGAACUAGUAAUGGGGACGCUUCCGACUCGCUGGGGAAGGGAGAUGAGGGCCUCUAGCUCUCCAUGCCCAGUCUCUCAUCAUCAAAGUCAUUUAAGGCCCCAGCGACCCCAGGGUUCAGCAGCAUCCUGUUCAUCAUGAGCAGAGGGGUGACUGAAUAGAAUGGGAGGCAGGUGUGGCCUGAGCAGUUCCCAACCUGAAUUUUCCUUUGAGCUUGGUGAUUUGGGGCGGGGGAUUGAGAUAUUUUCCUUUCACUUGUGGGAAAUCUUGGGGCCCCACAAAUCACUAAGCUGAAGGGAAAAGUCAAGCUGGGAACUACUCAGGGCAAACCUGCCUCCCAUUUUAUUCAGUCACUCCUCUGCUCGCUGAGAUAGACACAUACCUGAUUGCCUCCUUUGGAGAGGCUUGUCAGAAACAAAAUAAUGCAACCAUUUGUCUCUCAGCUACCUGCGACCUGGAAGCCCCCUCCCCACUUCGAGUUGUCCCCGCCUUUCUGGACGGAACCAACGUACUUCUUACAUAUAUCGAUUGAUGUCUCAUGUCUCCUUAAAAUGUAUGAAAACAAACUGUGCCCUGACCACCUUGGGCACAUGUCGCCAGGACUCCCUGAGGCUGUGUCACGGGCACGCAUCUUCAACCUUGGCAAAAUAAAGUUUCUGAAUUAACUGAAAAAAAAAAAAAAAAAAAAAAAAAAAAAAA